This is a non-coding RNA of Hordeum vulgare subsp. vulgare (domesticated barley), 135 nucleotides long. NCBI's taxonomy places the organism in Eukaryota, Viridiplantae, Streptophyta, Magnoliopsida, Poales, Poaceae. The record is from Rfam.
AUAGUACUCCCUCCGUCCUAAAAUUCUUGUCUUUAAUUUGUCUAGAUAUGAACGUAUCUAGUUAUGUAUUAGUAUUUAGAUAUAUUCAUUUUUAAAUAAAACUAAGAUAAUUUUUUUGGGAAGGAGUAGUAUUAU